Molecule: long non-coding RNA, 2451 nt
Organism: Talpa occidentalis (Iberian mole)
Lineage: Eukaryota; Metazoa; Chordata; Mammalia; Eulipotyphla; Talpidae
Exons: 6
Source: RefSeq, a predicted model, not a curated record
UAGUCUUGUUCAAUUUAAUUUAGUUUUAUCUCAUAUGAAGAUCUAUCUCUGGUAAGGAAAAUAUUAAGACUGCAAAUGAUCCAGAAAGCCAAAGACAUGACUUAGAAUCACAUCAAGAAGAGUAAACAGAGUCAUCUGGUUGCACUGAAAAUAAUCCCAUACCCUGAAAAGUAUCAACCAAUUACUCACAAAAUCCACUGUGAAGAAUAGAUUAUGUGCAAUGGAAGCUCUCCCAGCACAAGAGACAAAUGAGUCAACUUUUGACAGGAGUCAAGUCUGGCAAGCCGUGGCAGUCUCUGCAUCAGAACCUUUGCCAAAGUUGAUUUCUUUACUUGGUGCCCAGCUAUGGUGGUGGAUGUGCUGCCAUUUCCAGUAUAAUGAUAAAUCCAGGCAGCAUUGGUGGCAAUCUGGGGUGAAGAAGCUCAGUCGGCAGCUUGCUUCCAGCUAGUCUUAGUAACAACAUGCCCUCACUGGGUACAUUCACAUAAGUAAUCCAGAUGAUUCAUUCAGUAGCAGCAGUUUGGUCCUACAGUUUGUAGCCCCAAAGAAGGAUGUCUUUAAUCUGCUACUAUGUAUUUUUCCAAAAGGCAAACUAAGCAUCUAGGCCCUUGGUAAUGGCCCAAACCCCAUCUUCAGAAGGGAGUGAAGAAAAUAGAAAGUGCCAUUUGGUGGCUGACUCUAAUCCCGGCUUGCUCUGCUCAGUCUCUACACAGCUUUUAACAGAAAGUCACAUCUUUGUUCGGCAUCCCAUUCUCAAUACCAUAACUACCAGGAGCUAUACAGUUUCAAAGGGCUUAUCCUUCUUAACAAGCUCUUAUUUAUCCUGCCAGUUUCAUGAAUGCUGACAGAAGACUUCUGAGUCAAAGACAAUGGACUUUGUUAUUAUUUAUGGCAAAAGCCCCACUGAGUCAAUGAUUUUCUCCAAGGGAAGGCGGGUGAGAGUUUGUCAGCCAUUUCUAUUGAUGAGGAUGUGAUAACACCACAACCAAAACCACACUCAAGGCUGCUGAGACUAAGGCUUUUUACUUGCUAACCAAUGGGAUAUCAUCUCUGUGGAGAAAGCUGUGGACAUCAGAGGGUAGUCGCAUCCAUGCCCAAUCCUGAUCCAUCCAUUGGUGACAAAUGGCAGUGGUAUGUAUAUCAGCGAUUCAUGGCUCAAUCAAAUGAACUUUUAAUUUUGUUGGCAACAAGGUCUUCAUAGCUGAGAUCGUCUAUUUCAUUUUUGGAUUCCUUGACUCAGCAUUCAAAGCCACACUUCUUUCUGGAUGGAGUCAUGAGAUUUACAUAUCCUUGGGUGACUUAUGCUUGGCUUGUGUAUCAGUGACCUACUUUGUGGAGUCCACUUCAAUCCAAGGCAUCUGCAGUCCAAUUACCAUGAUGACAUCUCACAAAUUCUUGCUAGGGGCCAGUAUAAAGGCUAUGGGAGUUUUCCAGGGCACCAGAGCUGACUGCAAGAAUUUAUACUUCCUUGGAUCAGUUUAUUUCCUAGAUCAGUUUUACCAGCAUGAUUACAGUUUAGAUAGUAAGAGCCUGAACAUCAGUCACUACCUAUGUAUGGUUUUCCACAAGACUUCAUAUGUCUCAGGGAAAUCUCCUCAAGAGAGUCAAAGAAACUACAAUAUAGCAGCCACUACCUAAAACUCUGAAAUCUUUUAUGUUGCUUUGGAAUGGAUGUAAGAUGCACACUGUAUGCUGCAGUAGUUGUUGGCCAGAAGACAGGUCAGCUUUGUCAUCCUUCCCUAAUAGGAAGUACAAAGUCUGCGCCCUCACCUCCCAAGAAAACCAGCCAAAGGUCUAAUGAAUCACUUGGUUUCUGUCCAGAGCAGUCAUGAACUUCCAUCCUGUCAUCUCUGGUGUAGGUAUGCAUCUCUGUAACUGCUUCUAGAGAGCAGAAUCUUUUGCCCACUUAGGAUAAAUCAUACUGUUGUUAAAAUGGCACAGAUGGAGGAUGAUCAUCAGAUUGGCAAGGGAAUUUCCCUAUCUAGAAGUUUGUAACAACCAAGGCACUGUUCUGAAGCUGCUGUUUUUGAACCUGCUUCCCUACACUUGGCUUGCAAUCACCUGAUAGGUGGAAUAGAGAGAGAUGAUUCUCCUUCAUUAAUAUGCAAUAAAGUAGAAGACUGCUUAUUGCCUGACUUAUCAUGCAAUUUGCUCAGCAUGUUUACUACCAAUUCCCAAGGGUUUUCCUCAAAUCUAACCCAUCAGACCACAAGGUUCUUGUCAUUCAUCUUUCUGAAAGUCAUUUCUGUCAGUGUUCCAUAUUGUGCCCAAAGCUAUCAAGAACAUAGCCUACUUGUAAGCUAACAAGUUAGCCUGAGUAGUAGCCUGGAUGCUAAUAGAAGACGAGCACCUCCUGAGUCAAAGGACAGUUUAUAAAUGAGAGUAAUUGCAGCAGUUACAGUAUAAACAUUUCUGUAUCAGCUUCUCAAUACCUAAAUCCCACAAGGUAAG